RNAcentral lists this microRNA precursor (156 nucleotides) under Olea europaea subsp. europaea. The record is from RNAcentral. Lineage: Eukaryota; Viridiplantae; Streptophyta; Magnoliopsida; Lamiales; Oleaceae.
AAUUACUAUCCAAAAUCUCCCCCAAACUCCAAAGGAUUCGACCGGAAUAAACCCGCAAAGUCGGCAUCCCAAAAAGGCGAAAAUCUGGGAUGCCAAAUUUGUGAGUUUAUUCCGACCGAAUCCUUUGGAAUUUUGGGGAGAUUUUGGAUUCUAAUU